This 319-nucleotide ribosomal RNA is filed under the name Entamoeba suis. RNAcentral's name for it is "SSU rRNA". It matches the Rfam family "Eukaryotic small subunit ribosomal RNA", at positions 210 to 507 of the family's 1831-position model. Lineage: Eukaryota; Evosea; Mastigamoebida; Endamoebidae. The record is from RNAcentral.
AUCAAAUCAAUUAGGCAUAACUAUCAACCGAUAGUUAUAGGAAAGAAGUUUAUUAAGAAAAAGAACAAAUUUUACAAUUGUAGAAAUCGUAAGAUUUUAACAAGUAAUCAAUGAAAAUAUCUGAUCUAUCAACUAGUUGGUAGUAUAGAGGACUACCAAGGUUAUAACGGAUAACGAGAAAUUAGGGUUUGACAUCGGAGAAGGAGCUUUAAAAAUGGCUACUACUUCUAAGGAAGGCAGCAGGCGCGUAAAUUACCCACUUUUAACAUAAAGAGGUAGUGACGACAAAUAACUCUUUUAAAGCCGUAAGGUUUUAAUU